Molecule: ribosomal RNA, 465 nt
Filed under: Vreelandella stevensii
Lineage: Bacteria; Pseudomonadati; Pseudomonadota; Gammaproteobacteria; Oceanospirillales; Halomonadaceae
Description: partial 16S ribosomal RNA
Rfam family: Bacterial small subunit ribosomal RNA
Source: RNAcentral
CCUGCGGGGGGCUGCAGUGGGGAAUAUUGGACAAUGGGGGGAACCCUGAUCCAGCCAUGCCGCGUGUGUGAAGAAGGCCCUCGGGUUGUAAAGCACUUUCAGUGAGGAAGAACGCCUGGUGGUUAAUACCCAUCAGGAAAGACAUCACUCACAGAAGAAGCACCGGCUAACUCCGUGCCAGCAGCCGCGGUAAUACGGAGGGUGCGAGCGUUAAUCGGAAUUACUGGGCGUAAAGCGCGCGUAGGUGGCUUGAUAAGCCGGUUGUGAAAGCCCCGGGCUCAACCUGGGAACGGCAUCCGGAACUGUCAAGCUAGAGUGCAGGAGAGGAAGGUAGAAUUCCCGGUGUAGCGGUGAAAUGCGUAGAGAUCGGGAGGAAUACCAGUGGCGAAGGCGGCCUUCUGGACUGACACUGACACUGAGGUGCGAAAGCGUGGGUAGCAAACAGGAUUAGAUACCCUGGUAGUC